RNAcentral lists this ribosomal RNA (493 nucleotides) under uncultured bacterium. Its description in RNAcentral is "partial 16S ribosomal RNA". It matches the Rfam family "Bacterial small subunit ribosomal RNA", at positions 29 to 523 of the family's 1533-position model. The record is from RNAcentral.
AUUGAACGCUGGCGGCAUGCUUUACACAUGCAAGUCGAACGGUAACAGGUUAAGCUGACGAGUGGCGAACGGGUGAGUAAUGCAUCGGAACGUGCCCGGUCGUGGGGGAUAACGCAGCGAAAGCUGCGCUAAUACCGCAUACGAUCUGAGGAUGAAAGCGGGGGACCGUAAGGCCUCGCGCGAUCGGAGCGGCCGAUGUCAGAUUAGGUAGUUGGUGGGGUAAAGGCUCACCAAGCCAACGAUCUGUAGCUGGUCUGAGAGGACGACCAGCCACACGGGGACGGAGAAACGGCCCAGACUCCUACGGGAGGCAGCAGUGGGGAAUUUUGGACAAUGGGCGAAAGCCUGAUCCAGCAAUGCCGCGUGCAGGAAGAAGGCCUUCGGGUUGUAAACUGCUUUUGUACGGAGCGAAAAGGUCUCCUCUAAUACAGGGGGCUCAUGACGGUACCGUAAGAAUAAGCACCGGCUAACUACGUGCCAGCAGCCGCCGUAA